This 252-nucleotide ribosomal RNA is filed under the name uncultured bacterium. RNAcentral's name for it is "partial 16S ribosomal RNA". It matches the Rfam family "Bacterial small subunit ribosomal RNA", at positions 100 to 354 of the family's 1533-position model. The record is from RNAcentral.
CGGGGUGAGUAACGCGUGGGCAACCUGCCCCGCACUGGGGGACAACAGCCGGAAACGGCUGCUAAUACCGCGUAUGCGCACAGCUUUGCAUGAAGCAGUGUGGAAAACUCCGGUGGUGCGGGAUGGGCCCGCGUCUGAUUAGCUGGUUGGCGGGGCAACGGCCCACCAAGGCGACGAUCAGUAGCCGGCCUGAGAGGGUGGACGGCCACAUUGGGACUGAGACACGGCCCAGACUCCUACGGGAGGCAGCAG